RNAcentral lists this ribosomal RNA (497 nucleotides) under uncultured bacterium. Its description in RNAcentral is "partial 16S ribosomal RNA". It matches the Rfam family "Bacterial small subunit ribosomal RNA", at positions 28 to 507 of the family's 1533-position model. The record is from RNAcentral.
GAUGAACGCUGGCGGCGUGCCUAAUACAUGCAAGUCGAGCGAACGGACGAGAAGCUUGCUUCUCUGAUGUUAGCGGCGGACGGGUGAGUAACACGUGGAUAACCUACCUAUAAGACUGGGAUAACUUCGGGAAACCGGAGCUAAUACCGGAUAAUAUUUUGAACCGCAUGGUUCAAAAGUGAAAGACGGUCUUGCUGUCACUUAUAGAUGGAUCCGCGCUGCAUUAGCUAGUUGGUAAGGUAACGGCUUACCAAGGCAACGAUGCAUAGCCGACCUGAGAGGGUGAUCGGCCACACUGGAACUGAGACACGGUCCAGACUCCUACGGGAGGCAGCAGUAGGGAAUCUUCCGCAAAGGGCGAAAGCUUGACGGAGCAACGCCGCGUGAGUGAUGAAGGUCUUCGGAUCGUAAAACUCUGUUAUUAGGGAAGAACAUAUGUGUAAGUAACUGUGCACAUCUUGACGGUACCUAAUCAGAAAGCCACGGCUAACUACGUG